This 353-nucleotide ribosomal RNA is filed under the name uncultured soil bacterium. Its description in RNAcentral is "bacterial SSU rRNA". It matches the Rfam family "Bacterial small subunit ribosomal RNA", at positions 26 to 379 of the family's 1533-position model. The record is from RNAcentral.
AGAUUGAACGCUGGCGGCAUGCCUUACACAUGCAAGUCGAACGGCAGCACGGGAGCAAUCCUGGUGGCGAGUGGCGAACGGGUGAGUAAUACAUCGGAACGUGCCCAAUCGUGGGGGAUAACACAGCGAAAGCUGUGCUAAUACCGCAUAAGAUCUACGGAUGAAAGCAGGGGAUCGCAAGACCUUGCGCGAAUGGAGCGGCCGAUGGCAGAUUAGGUAGUUGGUGAGGUAAAGGCUCACCAAGCCUUCGAUCUGUAGCUGGUCUGAGAGGACGACCAGCCACACGUGGGACUGAGACACGGCCCAGACUCCGUACGGGAGCAGCAGGUGGGGUAAUUUGGACAAGUGGGACG